GUCAACGUCCAUACCACAUUGAACACACCGGUUCUCGUCCGAUCACCGAAGUCAAGCAAUGUCGGGCGCGGUUAGUACUUGGAUGGGUGACCGCCUGGGAACACCGCGUGCUGUUGGCUUUU
This 122-nucleotide ribosomal RNA is filed under the name Heliconius melpomene (postman butterfly). The record is from RNAcentral. Lineage: Eukaryota; Metazoa; Arthropoda; Insecta; Lepidoptera; Nymphalidae.